RNAcentral lists this ribosomal RNA (305 nucleotides) under uncultured bacterium. RNAcentral's name for it is "bacterial SSU rRNA". It matches the Rfam family "Bacterial small subunit ribosomal RNA", at positions 333 to 659 of the family's 1533-position model. The record is from RNAcentral.
UCAGCCUACGGGGCGCAGCAGGGAAUAUUGCACAAUGGGGGAAACCCUGAUGCAGCGACGCCGCGUGAGUGAAGAAGUAUCUCGGUACGUAAAGCUCUAUCAGCAGGAAAGAAAAUGACGGUACCUGACUAAGAAGCCCCGGCUAACUACGUGCCAGCAGCCGCGGUAAUACGUAGGGGGCAAGCGUUAUCCGGAUUUACUGGGUGUAAAGGGAGCGUAGACGGCGCUGCAAGUCCGGAGUGAAAGCCCAUGGCUUAACCAUGGUACUGCUCUGGAAACUGUAGAGCUUGAGUGCGGGAGGGGCA